Glossina morsitans morsitans is the source of this 88-nucleotide non-coding RNA. Lineage: Eukaryota; Metazoa; Arthropoda; Insecta; Diptera; Glossinidae. The record is from Rfam.
GAGUAGUUUUAAUACGUAGGCGCCAUGGAUGGCGAAUCGCGCAUACUGCUGGUACGGGCCAGUAGUAUCCUUCGAAGAUUUCUAUCUC